UACGGAGGCCCCAAGCGUUACUGAGAAUCACUGGGUUUAAAGGGUGCGUAGGCGGUUUGCUAAGACCGAUGUGAAAUCCCCGGGCUUAACCUGGGAACUGCAUUGGUGACUGGCAGGCUAGAGUAUGGCAGAGGGGGGUAGAAUUCCACGUGUAGCAGUGAAAUGCGUAGAGAUGUGGAGGAAUACCGAUGGCGAAGGCAGCCCCCUGGGCCAAUACUGACGCUCAUGCACGAAAGCGUGGGGAGCAAACAGG
Molecule: ribosomal RNA, 253 nt
Filed under: uncultured bacterium
Lineage: Bacteria
Description: partial 16S ribosomal RNA
Rfam family: Bacterial small subunit ribosomal RNA
Source: RNAcentral